Molecule: RNA transcript, 722 nt
Organism: Tarenaya hassleriana
Lineage: Eukaryota; Viridiplantae; Streptophyta; Magnoliopsida; Brassicales; Cleomaceae
Gene name: mitochondrial zinc maintenance protein 1, mitochondrial
Exons: 3
Source: RefSeq, a predicted model, not a curated record
AAGCAUCUAAACCGGAUCAGAAGGUCAUGAAACCAUUCUUAUUUGGAGGACAGAGAGAGGGAGCGACGGCGAUGUCGAUGGCGGCGAUGGCGAGAGGAGAAGCAUUGAUCGCGUACAGAGCUCUGCUGAGGGCGACACGGAAAUCGUUCGCCGGAGACACGGAGAUGCUGUCGGCUUCUGCGGCUGAGAUCCGUAAGAAGUUCGAAGAGAAUCGCAACGUCUCCUCGGAGUCGGAUAUCCCUCGCCUUCUCGAAGAGGCCCGUGAGGCCGCUCAUUUCAUCUCCACCAUGAUCGUCCAAGCCCGCCUUAACGACCGUGGCGGCUAUGAGGUUAAAGCAAGUAAGGAACAUGCUGGAGCCACGCUCGAGGUUCCGUCGGAGGAGAUGCUUCGGAAGUCUGUAAAGUGAGUGUUACGACUUGUCGGAUGUAGCUCCGUUUUCUACUGGAUUCGAAGAAUUAGACGCAAAAGGCUACUACCGUUUCUUAUCUGUUACAGAACCCCUAGUGUUCGUUGGGUGAGGGAAUAUCACGGAUUUACCAAUCUUACUGAGCUUGAGACCGUGUAUCCUGUGCAAUGUCGUCCUCUCAGGAUCAUUAGAUGUCUGCAUAGUGACAGGAAGAGUAGACAACCUGGGAUUUGAAGUUGUUACUUGUUAGGCUAACCUCAAAUUGAGAUUUCUAAUGUCCCAUCUCGCUGAUCUUCUCUCAGCUGUUGACUUCUU